UGCCAGCAGCAUCCUCUCUCCCAU
This 24-nucleotide non-coding RNA is filed under the name Mus musculus (house mouse). Lineage: Eukaryota; Metazoa; Chordata; Mammalia; Rodentia; Muridae. The record is from RNAcentral.